This 405-nucleotide ribosomal RNA is filed under the name uncultured bacterium. RNAcentral's name for it is "partial 16S ribosomal RNA". It matches the Rfam family "Bacterial small subunit ribosomal RNA", at positions 30 to 526 of the family's 1533-position model. The record is from RNAcentral.
AUUGAACGCUAGCGGGAUGCUUUACACAUGCAAGUCGAACGAGUGGCGCACGGGAGAGUAAUAUAUCGGAACGUGCCCAGUAGCGGGGGAUAACUACGCGAAAGAGUGGCUAAAACCGCAUACUAUGGGAGCGGCCGAUAUCGGAUUAGCUAGUUGGUGGGGUAAAGGCUCACAAAGGCAACGAUCCGUAGCUGGUUUGAGAGGACGACCAGCCCCACGGGGACUGUGACACGGCCCAGACUCCUACGGGAGGCAGCAGUGGGGAAUUUUGGACAAUGGGGGAAACCCUGAUCCAGCCAUCCCGCGUGUAUGAGAAGGCCUUCGGGUUGUAAAGUACUUUUGGCUGAGAAGCGGUAUCUGCAGAAGAAGCACCGGCUAACUACGUGCCAGCAGCCGCGGUAAUUC